Non-coding RNA from Trichonephila clavipes, 85 nucleotides. NCBI's taxonomy places the organism in Eukaryota, Metazoa, Arthropoda, Arachnida, Araneae, Nephilidae. The record is from the annotation of a GenBank genome assembly.
GUCAGGAUGGCCGAGCGGUCCUAAGGCGCUGCGUUCAGGUAGCAGUCUAGUUCUGUUGACGUGGGUUCGAUUCCCAAUUCUGACA